GUGUCAGGGCAACAGCAGCAGUAAUCACAUACUAGCAGAUGGGAGUGCUCAUGCUUGACUGAACAGCGUAUACUGUCAUCCGGCCUCACUAUUAAGCUACAAAAAACCACAUACCAUAAUCAUAUUGCCAUCAUCAUUAAAAACAGUUGGGCAUUGACCUCAUUUCCUCUCUAAUGGUUUUCCAAUUGUUUUCUGACCAUCUCACUGAUUGUUUGAAUAGAUUAUCAGUCUGUUUUAGGCUCAGAGAGAAGAAAAGGCCAUUGGAGCAUCAAGUGCUUAACCGAGAGCUCCAUAGUGAUUGGUCACGUGAUGAUCAAGUGAUGAGCGAAGAUUUCAUAUCUCAUAUGGGGGUUAUGCAACAGCCAAGCAACUGCCAUUGAGUGGUGUUCAAGCAUGGACGAGAUAAUCAAGGAGGUGCUCUGACGUUGGCUAGCCACGGGUUGGAGAGGUUGUGGAUGAGAAAAUCGUAAGGGAGGACCACCCAUUGGGCUCGGAGGAGAGAGAUUCCCUGCACGCCGCCUCUUUGGAAUAUUAAUGGGCUUCUCCUGGGAAAACUGCCCACAGAAUAGGCCACUCCAUCGCUGUCUCUGUUUCCGCUCAGCUGUCCUGAGGGUACGUGAGGGUGUUCGGUACAAUCCGGUCUGGAGAAACCUCAAGUACACCUCAAACUUUUGUUUUGAUGUUUCAUUAAGAACUCUUGAAGUUGAACAUUUCUUUUUUUCCCCCCAUAAUAUAUUACCGCUUUUAUUACACAAUAAAAAGCACAGGAACGGCUACAUUUAUGAUGUCAAAUUCCUCAGUCUCAACUUUAUAACCGCAAUCAAUAAGAAGACACAUUGAUUGAAAUGAGGGGGCCAUUAGCACGUGAGGGAUUGAGAGAGGUGACAAUGAUGCCGAUCACCACUGGUUUUCAUCACCGGAGCUGCAUAGUUCUUUCCCACUCGAUGGCUGAAGCCCAGACAACUCAUCUGUUUCGGCGUUAUGAGACUGACCGUCCUAAUGGCUUCUACAGAUGGCAGAGCUCGCUGAAGUCAUUGCUCUUUUCUUUCAAUCCCUUUUGCAUUCUUUAUCUGUAUUUGUGUCUCUGUCACUUGCUUUCAGUCAUUGCACCAUUUCCUCUGCCCCAGUCGGGGUCUCUGAGGUGAGCGCUGAGUUUUCGGCAUAUUUAUGUGAAGAAUCUGUUUUUUUACCAGCCUGCCAAGCUGUGAAUGAAAUCAGAUGAAUUU
Molecule: long non-coding RNA, 1226 nt
Organism: Sinocyclocheilus anshuiensis
Lineage: Eukaryota; Metazoa; Chordata; Actinopteri; Cypriniformes; Cyprinidae
Exons: 4
Source: RefSeq, a predicted model, not a curated record